AACAAUAUAUGUACAUUUGGUGUCUGCGCUGCAAGCGCGGAUGAAAAGGGAAGCAGGUGUGAUUCCUGCACGGUCCCGCCGCUGUAAUGGAUGAGUUUUGGCAAAUAGCCACCUGAAAGGGGAAGGCUGCCGGAACGAUGAAACUAAGUCAGAAGACCUGCCAAAGGGAGUAGCGCCGA
RNAcentral lists this non-coding RNA (179 nucleotides) under Alkalibacter saccharofermentans. The record is from RNAcentral. Lineage: Bacteria; Bacillati; Bacillota; Clostridia; Eubacteriales; Eubacteriaceae. RNAcentral also lists the same sequence under 1 other name.